Molecule: ribosomal RNA, 172 nt
Filed under: Fusarium sp. 10197-06
Lineage: Eukaryota; Fungi; Ascomycota; Sordariomycetes; Hypocreales; Nectriaceae
Also listed under: 1 other name
Description: 5.8S ribosomal RNA
Rfam family: 5.8S ribosomal RNA (bases 2-155)
About the family: 5.8S ribosomal RNA (5.8S rRNA) is a component of the large subunit of the eukaryotic ribosome. It is transcribed by RNA polymerase I as part of the 45S precursor that also contains 18S and 28S rRNA.
Source: RNAcentral
AAACUUUCAACAACGGAUCUCUUGGUUCUGGCAUCGAUGAAGAACGCAGCAAAAUGCGAUAAGUAAUGUGAAUUGCAGAAUUCAGUGAAUCAUCGAAUCUUUGAACGCACAUUGCGCCCGCCAGUAUUCUGGCGGGCAUGCCUGUUCGAGCGUCAUUUCAACCCUCAAGCUC